Molecule: long non-coding RNA, 10216 nt
Organism: Mytilus californianus (California mussel)
Lineage: Eukaryota; Metazoa; Mollusca; Bivalvia; Mytilida; Mytilidae
Exons: 3
Source: RefSeq, a predicted model, not a curated record
UUAGAAAACUCUUCACAAGAGACCAAAUGACACAGAAAUUAACAACUAUAGGUCACCGUACGGCCUUCAACAAUGAGCAAAGCCCAUACCGCGUAGUCAGCUAUAAAAGGCCCCGAAAUGACAAAUGUAAACAAUUCAAACGAGAAAACCAACGGCCCAAUUAAUUGUACAAAAAAAUUAACGGAAAACAAAUAUGUAACACAGCAACAAACUACAACCACUGAAUUACAGGCUCCUGACUUGGGACAUGCACAUACAUACAGAAUGUGGUGGGAUUUAACAUGUUAGCGGGACCCCCCCCUUUAACCAGGGACAGUGGUGUAACAGUACAACAUAAGAAUGAACUAUCAAAAUCAGUUGAAAAAGGCUUAACUCAUCAAAUGGAUACAAAUAGAAAUACAUCUAACAAAAAAAACAGAGCGGACGUGGCCGGGUACUUGUACAUCCCAACAACAAAAAGGCACUAAGUACAGAUCUAAGAGUACUCGCAGUUACUGACAGCUAGUUCAAAAAAAAUAUCAUGCAUCUAAGACUAUGUACCCGUUUCAGCGCUCGCCAGCUGAUACCCUGCUACUUAUUCGUUCCUUAUUCUCUUGUAAUACGUUUUGUAUACGUUGCAACUUUUAAACAAACAAAAAAAAACGUUUCUUGUCGCUGGUGUUAGUUAUAGGUUGUUAGAGGUGAAAGAACUUUUUUUAGCGCAUAUUUACCCGUUUCAGUGCUCGGCUGAUACCCUGCUACCUUUUCGCUACUUAUUCGUUCCUUAUUCACUUUUUAUACGUUACAUCUUUGUAAUGCUUUCUUUUCUUUUAUUUUCUUGUCUCUGGUGUUAGCUAUGGGUUUGUAGAUGGGAAAUAACCCUAUUAGUGCGUAUGUACCCGUUUCAGCGCUCACCUGAUACCCUGUUACUUAUUCGUUCCUUAUUCGCUUAUAAAACGUUUGUUAUAUACUUUGCACCCUUUAAAAAAAAAUUCUGUUCAAUUUUUUUCUUGUUUCUGGUGUUAGCUAUGGGUUCUUACAGGUGAAAUAACUCUUUUAGUGCGUAUUUACCCGUUUCAGCGCUAGGCUAAUACCCUGUUACUUAUUCGCUACUUUUUAUACGUUUCAUCUUUUUAAUGCUUUCUUUUCUUUUCUUUUUUCUUACUCUGGUGUUAGCUGUGGGUUUGUAGAUGGGAAAUAACCCUUUUAGUGCGUAUGUACCCGUUUUAGCGUUCAACUGAUACCCUGUUACCUAUCAGCUACUUAUUCGUUCCUUAUUCACUUUUUAUACGUUGCAUCUUUUUAAUUCUUUCUUUUUUUUUAUUUUCUUGUCUCUGGUAUAAACUGUGGGUUUGUAGAUGGGAAAUAACCCUAUUAGUGCGUAUGUACCCGUUUCAGCGCUCGCCUGAGACCCUGUUUCUUAUUUGUUCCUUAAUCGCUUAUAAUACGUUUGUUAUCCGUUGCACCUUUUAAAAAAAAAUUCUUUUCUAUUUUUUUCUUGUCUCUGGUGUUAGCUAUGGGUUCUUAGAGGUGAAAUAACCUAUAAGCGGGUAUGUACCCGUUUAAGUGCUUGACUGAAACCCUGUUACUCAUUCGCUACUUAUUCGUUCUUUAUCAACCUUUUAUACGUUGCAUCUUUUUAAUGCUUUCUUUUCUUUUCUUUUCUUGUCUCUGGUGUUAGCUGUGGGUUUGUAGAUGGGAAAUAACCCUAUUAGUGCGUAUGUAACCGUUACAGCGUUCGACUGAUACCCUUUAACGUAUCAGCUACUUAUUCGUUCCUUAUUCACUUUUUAUACGUUGCAUCUUUUUAAUUCUUUCUUUUUUUUUAUUUUCUUGUCUCUGGUGUAAGCUGUGGGUUUGUAGAUGGGAAAUAACCCUAUUAGUGUGUAUGUAUCCGUUUCAGCGCUUGCCUGAGACCUGUUUCUUAUUUGUCCCUUAUUCGCUUGUAAUACGUUUGUUAUUCGUUGCACCUUUUAAAAAAAAUUUCUUUUCAAUUUUUUUCUUGUCUCUGGUGUUAGCUAUGGGUUCUUAGAGGUGAAAUAACCCUAUUAGCACGUAUGUACCCGUUUCAGCACUCGACUGAUACCCUGUUACCUUUUCGCUACUUAUUCGUUCCUUAUUCAUUUUUUAUACGUUGCAUCUUUUUAAUGCUUUCUUUUCUUUGAUUUUCUUGUCUCUGGUGUUAGAUGUUGAUUUGUAGAUAGGAAACAACCCUAUUAGCGCGUAUGUACCCGUUUCAGCGCUCGACUGAUACCCUGUUACUUAUUCGUUGCUUAUUCGCUUAUAAUACGUUUGUUAUACGUUGAAUGUUUUAGGAAAAAUUCUUUUCAAUUUUUUUCUUGUCUCUGGUGUUAGCUAUGGGUUCUUACAGGUGAAAUAACUCUUUAAGCGCGUAUUAACCCGUUUUAGCGCUAGGCUAAUAUCCUGUUACUUAUUCGCUACUUAUUCGUUCCUUAUUCACCUUUUAUACGUUGUAUCUUUUUAAUGCUUUCUUUUCUUUUCUUUUCUUGUCUCUUGUGUUAGCUGUGGGUUUUUAGAUGGGAAAUAACCCUAUUAGUGCGUAUGUACCCGUUUCAGCGUUCAACUGAUAACCUGUUACCUAUCAGCUACUUAUUCGUGCCUUAUUAAUUUUUUAUACGUUGCAUCUUUUUAAUUCUUCCUUUUCUUUUAUACUCUUGGGUCUGGUGUAAGCUGUGGGUUUGUAGAUGGGAAAUAACCCUAUUAGUGCGUAUGUACCCGUUUCAGCGCUCGACUGAUACCCUGUUACUUAUUCGUUCCUUAUUCGCUUGGAAUACGUUUGUUAUACGUUGAACGUUUUAGGAAAAAUUCUUUUCAAUUUUUUUCUUGUCUCUGGUGUUAGCUAUGGGUUCUUACAGGUGAAAUAACUCUUUAAGCGCGUAUUAACCCGUUUUAGCGCUAGGCUAAUAUCCUGUUACUUAUUCGCUACUUAUUCGUUCCUUAUUCACCUUUUAUACGUUGCAUCUUUUUAAUGCUUUCUUUUCUUUUCUUUUCUUGUCUCUUGUGUUAGCUGUGGGUUUUUAGAUGGGAAAUAACCCUAUUAGUGCGUAUGUACCCGUUUCAGCGUUCAACUGAUACCCUGUUACCUAUCAGCUACUUAUUCGUUCCUUAUUAAUUUUUUAUACGUUGCAUCUUUUUAAUUCUUCCUUUUCUUUUAUACUCUUGGGUCUGGUGUAAGCUGUGGGUUUGUAGAUGGGAAAUAACCCUAUUAGUGCGUAUGUACCCGUUUCAGCGCUCGACUGAUACCCUGUUACUUAUUCGUUCCUUAUUCGCUUGGAAUACGUUUGUUAUACGUUGAAAGUUUUAGGAAAAAUUCUUUUCAAUUUUUUUCUUGUCUCUGGUGUUAGCUAUGGGUUCUUACAGGUGAAAUAACUCUUUAAGCGCGUAUUAACCCGUUUUAGCGCUAGGCUAAUAUCGUGUUACUUAUUCGCUACUUAUUCGUUCCUUAUUCACCUUUUAUACGUUGCAUCUUUUUAAUGCUUUCUUUUCUUUUCUUUUCUUGUCUCUUGUGUUAGCUGUGGGUUUGUAGAUGGGAAAUAACCCUAUUAGUGCGUAUGUACCCGUUUCAGCGUUCAACUGAUACCCUGUUACCUAUCAGCUACUUAUUCGUUCCUUGUUAACUUUUUAUACGUUGCAUCUUUUUAAUUCUUCCUUUUCUUUUAUUUUCUUGGGUCUGGUGUAAGCUGUGGGUUUGUAGAUGGGAAAUAACCCUACAAGCGCGUAUGUACCCGUUUCAGCUCUCGACUGAUACCCUGUUACUUAUUCGCUACUUAUUCGUUCCUUAUUCACUUGUUAUACGUUGCAACUUUGUAAAGCUUUAUAUUUUUUUUAUUUCUUGUCUAUGUUGUUAGCUGUAAGUUUGUAAAUGGGAAAUAAGCCUAUUAGCGCGUAUGUACCCAUUUGAGUGCUCGCCAGCUGAUACCCUGUUACUUAUCACCUACUUAUUCGUUCCUUAUUCACUUUUAAUACGUUGCAUCUUUUUACUGCUAUCUUUUCUUUUAUUUUCUUGUCUCUGGUGUUAGCUGUGGGUUUGUAGAGGACAAAUAACCCUAUUAGCGCGUAUGUACCCGUUUCAGCGGUCGCCUGAUACCCUGUUACUUAUUCGUUCCUUAUUCGUUUGUAAUGCGUUUGUGUUAUACGUUGCACUUUUUAAGAAAAAAAUCUUUUCAAUUUUGUUCUUGUCUCUGGUGUUAGCUAUGGGUUGUUACAGGUGAAAUAACUCUUUUAGUGCCUAUUUACCCGUUUUGUCGCUCGGCUGAUACCCUGUUACUUAUCCGCUUCUAAUUGUUCCUUAUUCACUUUUUAUACGUUGCAUCUUUUAAAUUAAAUGCUUUCUUUUCUUUUAUUGUCUUGUCUCUGGUGUUAGCUGUGGGUUUGUAGAUGGGAAAUAACCCUAUUAGUGCGUAUGUACCCGUUUCAGCGUUCAACUGAUACCCUGUUACCUAUCAGCUACUUAUUCGUUCCUUAUUCACUUUGUAUACGUUGCAUCUUUUUAAUUCUUUCUUUUCUUUUAUUUUCUUGUCUCUGCUGUAAGCUGUGUGUUUGUAGAUGGGAAAUAACCCUAUUAGUGCGUAUGUACCCGUUUCAGCGCUCGCCUGAGAACCUGUUUCUUAUUUGUUCCUUAUUCGCUUAUAAUACGUUUGUUAUCCGUUGCACAUUUUAAAAAACAUUGCUUUUCUAUUUUUUCUUGUUUCUGGUGUUAGCUAUGGAUUCUCAGAGGUGAAAUAACCUAUAAGCGGGUAUGUACCCGUUUCAGUGCUCGACUGAUACCCUGUUACUCAUUCGCUACUUAUUCGUUCUUUAUCAACUUUUUAUAUGUUUCAUCUUUUUAAUGAUUUCUUUUCUUUUAUUUUCUUGUCUCUGGUGUUAGUUGUGGGUUUGUAGAUGGAAAAUAACCCCAUUAGCGCGUAUGUACCCAUUUCGGCGCACGACUGAUACCCUGGUACUUUUUCGCAACUUAUUCGUUCCUUAUUCAUUUUUUAUACGUUGCAUGUUUUUAAUGCUUUCUUUUCUUUGAUUUUCUUGUCUCUGGUGUUAACUGUGGGUUUGUAGAUUGGAAAUAACCCUAUUAGUGCGUCUGUACCCGUUUCAGCGUUCGACUGAUACACUGUUACCUAUCAGCUACUUAUUCGUUCCUUAUUCACUUUUUACACGUUGCAUCUUUUUAAUUCUUUCUUUUCUUAUAUUUUCUUGUCCCUGGUGUAAGCUGUGGAUUUGUAGAUGGAAAAUAACCCUUUUAGCGCGUAUGUACUCGUUUCAGCGCUCGCCAGCUGAUACCCUGUUACUGAUUCGUUCCUUAUUCGCUUGUUAUACGUUUGUGUUUUACGUUGCACCUUUCAAGAAAAAAAUCUUUUCAAUUGUUUUCUUGUCUCUGGUGUUAGCUAUGGGUUCUUAGAGGUGAAAUAACUCUUUUAGCGCGUAUUUACCCGUUUCAUCGCUCGGCUGAUACCCUGUUACUUAUCCGCUACUUAUUCGUUCUUUAUUCACUUUUCACACGUUGCAUCUUUUUAAUGCUUUCUUUUCUUUUAUUUUCUUGUCUCUGGUGUUAGCUGUGGGUUUGUAGAUGGGAAAUAAUCCUAUUGAGUGCUCGCAUGAUACCCUGUUACUUAUUCGUUCCUUAUUCUCUUUUUAUACGUUUGUUAACCGUUGCACCUUUAAACAAAAAUUCUUUUCAAUGUUUUUCUUGUCUCUGGUGUUAGCCAUUGGAUCUUAGAGGUGAAAUAACCCUAUUAGCGCGUAUGUACCCGUUUCAGCGCUCGACUGAUACCCUGUUACUUAUCCGCUACUUAUUCGUUCCUUAUUCACUUUUUAUACGUUGCAUCUUUCUAAUGCUUUCUUUUCUUUUAUUUUCUUGUCUUUGGUGAUAGCUGUGGGUUUGUAGAUGAGAAAUAACCCUAUUAGCGCGUAUGUACCCGUUUCAGCGCUCGCCAGCUGAUACCCUGUUACUUAUUCGUUCCUUAUUCGCUUGUAAUACGUUUGUGUUAUACGUUGCACCUUUUAAGAAGAAAAUCUUUUCAAUUUUUUUCCUGUCUCUGUUGUUAGUUAUGGGUUGUUAGAGGUGAAAUAACUCUUUUAGCGCGUAUUUGCCCGUUUAAUCGCUUGGCUGAUACCCUGUUAUUAUCCGCUACUUAUUCGUCGUUCCUUAUUCACCUUUUAAACGUUGCAUCUUUUUAAUGCUUUCUUUUUUUCUAUUUUCUUUUCUCUGGUGUUAGCUGUGGGUUUGUAGAUGGGAAAUAACCCUAUUAGUGCGUAUGUACCCGUUUCAGCGCUCGCCUGAUGCCCGGUUACUUAUUCGUUCUUUAUUUGCUUGUUAUACGUUUGGUAUUCGUUCCACCUUUAAAAAAAAAUUCUAUCAAUUUUUUUCUUGUCUCUGAUGUUAGCUAUCGGUUCUCAUAGGUGAAAUAACCCUAUAAGCGCGUAUUUACCCCUUUCAUCGCUCGGAUGAAACCCUGUUACUUAUCCGCCACUUAUUCGUUCCUUAUUCACUGUUUAUACGUUGCAUCUUUUUAAUGCUUUUUUUUCUUUUAUUAACUUGUCUCUGGUGUUAGCUGUGGGUUUGUAUAUGGAAAAUAACUCUGUUAGCGCGUAUGUACCCGUUUCAGCGCUCGACUGAUACCCUGUUACUUAUUCGUUCCUUAUUCACUUUUUAUACGUUGCAACUUUUUAAUGCUUUGUAUAUUUUUCUAUUUUCUUGUCUCUGUUGUUAGCUGUGGGUUUGUAGAUAAAAAAAUAACCCUAUUAGCGCGUAUGUACCCGUUUGAGCGCUCGCCAGCUGAUACCCUGUUACUUAUCAGCUACUUAUUCGUUCCUUAUUCACUUUUUAUACGUUGCAUCUUUUUAAUGCUUUCUUUUCUUUUAUUUUCUUGUCUCUGGUGUUAGCUGUGGGUUUGUAGAUGGGAAAUAAUCCUAUUGAGUGCUCGCAUGAUACCCUGUUACUUAUUCGUUCUUUAUUCGCUUGUAAUACGUUUGUUAACCGUUACACCUUUAAACAAAAGUUCUUUUCAAUGUUUUUAUUGUCUCUGGUGUUAGCCAUUGGAUCUUAGAGGUGAAAUAACCAUAUUAGCGCGUAUGUACCCGUUUCAGCGCUCGACUGAUACCCUGUUACUUAUUCGCUACUUAUUCGUUCCUUAUUCACUUUUUAUACGUUGCAUCUUUCUAAUGCUUUCUUUUCUUUUCUUUUCUUGUCUUUGGUGAUAGCUGUGGGUUUGUAGAUGAAAAAUAACCCUAUUAGCGCGUAUGUACCCGUUUCAGCGCUCGCCAGCUGAUACCCUGUUACUUAUUCGUUCCUUAUUUGCUUGUAAUACGUUUGUGUUAUACGUUGCACCUUUUAAGAAAAAAAUCUUUUCAAUUUUUUUCCUGUCUCUGUUGUUAGUUAUGGGUUGUUAGAGGUGAAAUAACUCUUUUAGCGCGUAUUUGCCCGUUUAAUCGCUCGGCUGAUACCCUGUCAUUAUCCGCUACUUAUUCGUUCCUUAUUCACCUUUUAAACGAUGCAUCUUUUUAAUGCUUUCUUUUUUUCUAUUUUCUUUUCUCUGGUCUUAGCUGUGGGUUUGUAGAUGGGAAACAACCCUAUUAGUGCGUAUGUACCCGUUUCAGCGCUCGACUGAUACCCUGUUACUUAUUCGCUACUUAUUCGUUCCUUUUUCACUUUUUUGUGCGUUGCAUCUUUUAAUGCUUUUUUUUUCUUUUAUUUUCUUGUUUCUGGUGUUAGCUGUGGGUUUGUAGAUGGGAAAUAAGAAUAUUAGCGCGUUUGUACCCGUUUCAGCGCUCGCCAGCUGAUACCCUGUUACUUUUUCGUUCCUUAUUCCCUUUUAAUACGUUUGUGUUAUACGUUGCAGCUUUUAAGAAAAAAUUCUUUACAAUUUUUUUCUUGUCUCUGGUGUCAGCUAUGAGUUGUUAGAGUUGAAAUAACUCUUUUAGCGCGUAUUUAUCCGUCUCAUCGCUCGGCUGAUACCCUGCUACUUAUCCGCUACUUAUUCGGUCCUUAUUCACUUUUUACACGUUGCAUCUUUGUAAUGCUCUCUUUCCUUGCAUUUUUCCUGUUUCUGGUGUUAGCUGUGGGUUUGUAGAUAGGUAAUAACCCUAUUAGCGCUCGCCUGAUACCCUGUCUUCUUAUUCGUUCCUUAUUCGCUUGUAAUACAUUUGUUCUCCGUUGCACCUUUUAAAAAAUUUCUUUUCAAUAUUUUUCUUGUCUUUGGUGUUAGCUAUGGGUUCUUAGAAGUGAAAUAACCCUGUUAGCGCGUAUAUACCCGUUUCAGCGCUCGACUGAUACCCUGUUACUUAUUCGCUACUUAUUCGUUCCUUGUUCACUUUUUGUACGUUGCAUCUUUUUAAUGCUUUCUUUUCUUUUAUUUUCUUGUCUCUAGUGUUAGCUUUGGGUUUGUAGAUGGGAAAAAACCAUAUUAGCGCGUAUGUACCCGUUUCAGCGCUCGCCAGCUGAUACCCUGUUACUUAUUCGUUCAUUAUUCGCUUUUAAAACGUUUGUGUUAUACGUUGCAGCUUUUAAGAAAAAAAUCUUUACAAUAUUUUUCUUGUCUCUGGUGUCAGCUAUGAGUUGUUAGAGUUGAAAUAACUCUUUUAGCGCGUAUUUAUCCGUUUCAUCGCUCGGCUGAUACCCUGUUACUUAUCCGCUACUUAUUCGGUCCUUAUUCACUUUUUACACGUUGCAUCUUUUUAAUGCUUUCUUUUCUUUUAUUUUCUUGUCUCUGGUGUUAGCUGUGGGUUUGUAGAUUAGAAAUAACCCUAUUAGUGCGUAUGUACCCAUUUCAGCGCUGGCUUGAUACCCUGUUACCUUAUUCGUUCUUUAUUCGCUUAUAUUACGUUUGUUAUCCGUUCCACCUUUUAAAAAAAAUUCUUUUCAAUUCUUUUCUUCUCUCUGAUGUAAGCUAUAGGUUCUUAAAGGUGAAAUAACCGUAUUAGCGCGUAUGCACCCGUUUCAGCGCUCGGCUGAUACCCUGUUGCGUAUUCGCUACUUAUUCGUUCCUUAUUCACUUUUUAUACGUUGCAUCAUUUUAAUGCUUUCUUUUACUUUUCAUUUCUUGUCUCUGGUGUUAGCUGAGGGUUUGUAUAUGGAAAAUAACUCUAUUAGCGCGUAUGUACCUGUUUCAGCGCUCGCCAGCUGAUAUCCUGUUACUAAUUCGUUCGUUCCUUAUUCGCUUAUAAUACGUCUGUUAUCCGUUGCAACUUUGAAAAUUCUUUUCAUUUUUGUUCUUGUCUCUGGUGUUAGCUAUGGGUUCUUACAAGUGAAAUAACUCUUUUAGCGCGUAUUUACCCGUUUCAGCGCUAGGCUAAUAUCCUGUUACUUAUUCGCUACUUAUUCGUUCCUUAUUCACUUUUUAUACGUUGCAUCUUUUUAAUGCUUUCUUUUCUUUUAUUUUCUUGUCUCUUGUGUUAGCUGUGGGUUCGUAGAGGUAAAAACUACCUUUAAACGGGAUUUAACUCUUGUUUAUAACUUGGGCGCGUAUGUCUGGAGCGAUUUUGCAAUGGGGCGAGUUGGUAUGGAUUCAAACUUACCUAAGUACUGUUCAUUACUAUCCCCUGUAUCAAUAUUGUACUGAACUCGAGGUAUAAUAUACUUCAAUUUUAGGUAGAAGAACCACUAUAAGCACCAACGAUUUUAAUAUUUUUUAUCAGUAAAAUUAUGGAAAAUAGUCGUUUAUGAGUUAUUCCAUAUACAAGUUUUGACAGAAAUACAGUUAAAGAUUCAUUUAGAAGAGGAAUAAAUAAAAUUUCUUCACAAAUGUAGGAAUGUUCACCCGUAUCAUAUAUUAAUAAGCACCACCAAAAAAAAGAAAUAAAGCACCAUGGACUGCAGCUAUCUUCCAAUAGGUCUAAUUUGCCAGGCUCAGGGUCUAAACCACUUGGUUGGGAUCUUAUCUGAUAAACACAACCCAUUGGUCCACCAGACUUGGUGGUUCAGUUUGUAAGUUAAAGAUGUCCACCUUUUCACAUAUUUAUAAGCACCAACCAAAAAAAAUAAUUAAGCACCACGGACUGCAGCUAUCUUCCAACAUGUCUAAAAUGCAAGCAUCAGGGUCUAAAACACUUGUUUUUGGGUAUAAUCUGAUAAACACAACCCAUUGGUCUACCAGAAUUGGUGGUCCAGCCUGCAAGCUGAAGAUGUCCACCCAUGUCACACUUAUUAACACCACAUAAAAAGCGCUCUGGUUGCAGCUUUCUUCCAAAAGGUCUAAAAUGCAAGACUCAAGGUCUAAACCACUUG